This 85-nucleotide microRNA precursor is filed under the name Chlorocebus sabaeus (green monkey). RNAcentral's name for it is "mir-571 microRNA precursor family". It matches the Rfam family "mir-571 microRNA precursor family". The record is from Rfam by way of RNAcentral. Lineage: Eukaryota; Metazoa; Chordata; Mammalia; Primates; Cercopithecidae.
AGUGAGACCAAGCUGGGUGGACAAUUUCCUGGCCAUUAGCCAGGAACAGAGGUCCUGUAGUUUGCCACCUUAAUGAGGGCCUGCC